Molecule: ribosomal RNA, 408 nt
Filed under: uncultured bacterium
Lineage: Bacteria
Description: bacterial SSU rRNA
Rfam family: Bacterial small subunit ribosomal RNA
Source: RNAcentral
CACCGGCUAACUCCGUGCCAGCAGCCGCGGUAAUACGGAGGGUGCGAGCGUUGUCCGGAUUUAUUGGGUUUAAAGGGUGCGUAGGUGGGUUCUUAAGUCUGGUUUGAAAGUCGGCGGCUUAACCGUUGGAUGUGGCUGGAAACUGGGGAUCUUGAAUGCGAUAGCGGUAGCUGGAAUGGGUCAUGUAGCGGUGAAAUGCAUAGAUAUGACCCGGAACUCCGAUUGCGAAGGCAGGCUACUGGGUCGUGAUUGACACUGAGGCACGAGAGCAGGGGUAGCGAACAGGAUUAGAUACCCUGGUAGUCCCUGCCGUAAACGAUGAUGACUGACUGUUUGGCCUUUGGGCUGAGUGGUUCAGCGAAAGCGUUAAGUCAUCCACCUGGGGAGUACGCCGGCAACGGUGAAACU